CCCCUCUCAGGACCAUACCUGGAAAGUUUCCAGUACUCUACCAGUCUCGGCUAUGGGAGGGAGAGUCAAGCAGAGACGUAUCUACUCCAUUUCUAGCUUAGCCAGUGGUUAGCAAGUGGAAGGCAAUCUGCUACAAGU
This is a non-coding RNA of Ornithorhynchus anatinus (platypus), 138 nucleotides long. The record is from Rfam. NCBI's taxonomy places the organism in Eukaryota, Metazoa, Chordata, Mammalia, Monotremata, Ornithorhynchidae.